AAUCACAACCGAAGGUAAUCAAUUCAUAUUACAAAUAUAUUUCAUGGCUUUGAAUUAACCUCUAGCCAAAAUAAAAUUAAUUACACAUUAUUAAAACAAAAAUAAAAUAGAGAUUUAGAAAGAUUUAACCGAGAGAGAGGAGAGUGCAAUUUUCUGUUCUGUCCACGUGCUGCCAAGUGGCAGAUUUGUUUCUUCACGUUUUUGCACCGCAGGAUUCCUUCUCCACUUGCUUUCUGUCCGAGGCUUCUAGCUGCCAAGAGGCAGCGUCUUUCUGUCUGCACUCUGGUUUUUCCCUGCCGCAAGGCAGCUUGAUGCCGCUUCCUCUUUCAAACUGCCAAAGCAGCUCCUCCUUUCUGCUUCACUUUCACGCUGCCCAAAAGGGCAGCUCCCUCUUUUCCUUCACGCCCCCAUCUGACCUCACAUUUCCUUGCAGUCCCGUACUCACCAUCCCUCACGCUGUCUCUCCUCUCUCUUCUAUUUUUUUAUUUUCCUUUUUUUUUUUCUUUCUGGCAGCAAGGCUGCCUUCUCUUUUCACACUCCGCAAGCCCCUGACUUGCUCCCCCCGUUUUCCUGCGACUCAUGCGCUCUCUGCGAGCUGCCCAAAGGCAGCUCCCCCUUUUUCUUCCGCUCCAAGACACCCCUUGCUGCACGCUGCCA
Molecule: long non-coding RNA, 657 nt
Filed under: Malus domestica (apple)
Lineage: Eukaryota; Viridiplantae; Streptophyta; Magnoliopsida; Rosales; Rosaceae
Description: long non-coding RNA (MDOM_LNC020783)
Source: RNAcentral